Nannospalax galili (Upper Galilee mountains blind mole rat) is the source of this 101-nucleotide small nucleolar RNA. Its record names the gene SNORD16. It matches the Rfam family "Small nucleolar RNA SNORD16". From Rfam's summary of the family: U16 is a member of the C/D class of snoRNA which contain the C (UGAUGA) and D (CUGA) box motifs. U81 acts as a guanine methylation guide and is found in an intron of ribosomal proteins L1 gene in animals. NCBI's taxonomy places the organism in Eukaryota, Metazoa, Chordata, Mammalia, Rodentia, Spalacidae. The record is from Ensembl.
UGCAGUGAUGUUGUAAUUUGCGUCUUACUCUGUUCUCAGUGACAGUUGCCUGCUGUCAAUUAAAGCUGGUUCAGAAGAUUGACGAAAAUUGUUACUGAGCA